Molecule: transfer RNA, 69 nt
Filed under: bovine gut metagenome
Rfam family: tRNA
About the family: Transfer RNA (tRNA) molecules are approximately 80 nucleotides in length. Their secondary structure includes four short double-helical elements and three loops (D, anti-codon, and T loops).
Source: RNAcentral
GGUCGUAGUUAAGUCGGUUAUAACGCCGGCCUGUCACGCCGGAGGCCACGGGUUCGAGUCCCGUCGACC